UGGCUCAAUCCACAUGCAGUGCUCCAUCU
RNAcentral lists this non-coding RNA (29 nucleotides) under Mus musculus (house mouse). The record is from RNAcentral. Lineage: Eukaryota; Metazoa; Chordata; Mammalia; Rodentia; Muridae.